Molecule: ribosomal RNA, 497 nt
Filed under: uncultured bacterium
Lineage: Bacteria
Description: partial 16S ribosomal RNA
Rfam family: Bacterial small subunit ribosomal RNA
Source: RNAcentral
GAUGAACGCUGGCGGCGUGCCUAAUACAUGCAAGUCGAGCGGACAGACGAGGAGCUUACUCCUCUGACGUUAGCGGCGGACGGGUGAGUAACACGUGGAUAACCUACCUAUAAGACUGGGAUAACUUCGGGAAACCGGAGCUAAUACCGGAUAACAUGUUGAACCGCAUGGUUCAACAGUGAAAGACGGUCUUGCUGUCACUUAUAGAUGGAUCCGCGUCGCAUUAGCUAGUUGGUAAGGUAACGGCUUACCAAGGCAACGAUGCGUAGCCGACCUGAGAGGGUGAUCGGCCACACUGGAACUGAGACACGGUCCAGACUCCUACGGGAGGCAGCAGUAGGGAAUCUUCCGCAAUGGGCGAAAGCCUGACGGAGCAACGCCGCGUGAGUGAAGAAGGUCUUCGGAUCGUAAAACUCUGUUAUUAGGGAAGAACAAAUGUGUAAGUAACUAUGCACGUCUUGACGGUACCUAAUCAGAAAGCCACGGCUAACUACGUG